This 383-nucleotide long non-coding RNA is filed under the name Cyanistes caeruleus (blue tit). RNAcentral describes it as "lncRNA (ENSCCEG00000019341.1)". The record is from RNAcentral. Lineage: Eukaryota; Metazoa; Chordata; Aves; Passeriformes; Paridae.
AAGAAAUGGUGAAAAGAGAUAUAUGCUAGAUCCUUGUAGAUUACUUCUAGAAAUAACUGGUAGCCAUAGAACAGGGAGCAGUCAUCUGGAUACUCAAGCAGGCUGAAGAAUAAGACAGACAUUAUUUUGGGUUUUUCAAGAUACUGGAAGACAAAAUACUGAAAGAUUAGAAAAAAUAUCUCCAAGAGUCCAGAUGCAACUAUUAAGGUCAGUUCUAUCUGCUUAGAGUAGGUUUGCAAUGAACACUCCAGAGUUUUGACUUGAAUUAUCUCUUCAGCUUCUAAGGGACUCAUGAGGUACCUGGGGAAAGCGUUCAUAGUUAAAACACUACAAAAUCUACCAUAAUCUGCAUAGUUUAGAACUAGUUUAGAAUGAAACUGAAU